This 517-nucleotide long non-coding RNA is filed under the name Brassica rapa (field mustard). RNAcentral's name for it is "long non-coding RNA (BRAP_LNC003336)". Lineage: Eukaryota; Viridiplantae; Streptophyta; Magnoliopsida; Brassicales; Brassicaceae. The record is from RNAcentral.
UCGAGACCAGAGUAUGGUUCUUGGCUGAUGCUUGGAGGCAGAGCAGAGAGGAACAAAGAAAACAAUUCUCUACCUGGAAAAUGGAAAACAUUCAAGGUAUUUUUUAAUCUGCUCUAAUAAUCUCCACAACAAAACUAAGUUACACUCUGCGAAUUUGAUUACUUAGCUGCAUUUAUAUGUAUCCUGGCAGGUUCCUCAGAAACCUGUUGUGAGAACUCCUGCAGCAGCCACUGCUUCCUCCUUUGAGGUUUUUGUGGAUGAAGAAGAAGAAGAAGAAUGUACAGAGUAAGUUAGACAAAAUAUGAAUGUUUUUGCAGCAAGAAACAGAUGUUUUUUUUUUUUUUUUUUUUUUUUGAAAUAAAAACAGAUGUUUUGUUACUGACUUUUUUUAUUAUGAAAUUGCAGAGAGGGAGGAGAGAAGAAGAAGAAGAGUGAAACCAACUCAUCAUCAUCAUCAAACGCUCUGCCGCUUAAUGAUGGCCGUGAGAUUAAGAAGUAAGCAUUAACUCCUCUUUUU